Long non-coding RNA from Thalassophryne amazonica, 215 nucleotides. RefSeq lists it as uncharacterized. The record is from RefSeq and is a predicted model, not a curated record. NCBI's taxonomy places the organism in Eukaryota, Metazoa, Chordata, Actinopteri, Batrachoidiformes, Batrachoididae. The transcript is spliced from 3 exons.
UGCUUAUUCGCCGACUUUGGAUGGAUUUCCGUCUUUUUGCAAAAUCUCACCGUCUAAAAGAACUAGCAAAACAUUAAUUUUUAUUUCCUCAAAUCCGUGAAAUGGUAUUUUAGUGGAAAAACUCCAAAUCGUUGAGAAAUUUAUCAUAAAAUAAUGGUGUGUUUACCGGAGAUGGAGGCGGCCAUCUCGGAAUCCACAACAUUUUGAAGCCUCAU